RNAcentral lists this ribosomal RNA (172 nucleotides) under Staphylococcus aureus. Its description in RNAcentral is "partial 16S ribosomal RNA". It matches the Rfam family "Bacterial small subunit ribosomal RNA", at positions 1 to 167 of the family's 1533-position model. The record is from RNAcentral. Lineage: Bacteria; Bacillati; Bacillota; Bacilli; Caryophanales; Staphylococcaceae.
UUUAUGGAGAGUUUGAUCCUGGCUCAGGAUGAACGCUGGCGGCGUGCCUAAUACAUGCAAGUCGAGCGAACGGACGAGAAGCUUGCUUCUCUGAUGUUAGCGGCGGACGGGUGAGUGACACGUGGAUAACCUACCUAUAAGACUGGGAUAACUUCGGGAAACCGGAGCUAAU